CUCUCUCAUGUUCUGUGCAGGGGGAGCAAGGACCUCGAGGCUUUCCAGGGUCAAAGGGCAUGACAGGCCUUGGCCUCCCUGGCCAGAAGGGGUUGCAAGGACCAAAAGGAGACCAAGGGCUUACAGUAAGUAUCAGUCCUACAGGGUAAUUGAGGGGUUUGCGCUUAUGGGAUUGCUGUGUUUAUGUUUUAAACGUGGUUUACAUUUAAAAGCAUGACUUCUUUUGAUAUGGUUGCCAUGUAAAUGACAGCACUGCCGCAAGCUCUGUGCUGCCUGUGAUGCAGAAGGUAAUUGAAUCAGAGCAUGAGGGGAGGCAUAACACCCAGAGCCCUUAUCUGGCAUCCUGGUAGGGAUGUUACUACCCCCUCUGACCCCUGGUAGAAAUGUUAACAAGGAGGUGAGCUGUUUAAAAGAAGCCAACUGAACAUGAGACUUUAUUUUACAUGGCCCUUCACAUUUUAGAACGGGGGCUCUCUUUACCCUGAAAUAGUUCCUUCAGGAAGUGCUCUGAGGAGAACAGCAAUCACAAAGUUGAGAUGAUUUUUAUGGACUGAUUCACUUAUUCAACAAACAGUUAUGAAGAUGUACAAACUCUUUCCUAUUCUUCUCUCUGCACCAUGACAAAUGAAAAACCGAGUCUCAAAAGUCCCACCAGGUGGGAAAGUUCUAGAAUUUCUAUAGCAGAAUCUGCUUCUUCCCUUCUGAUUCUGAGGCACUGCAUCUCCUCGAGGUGAGAAAGAGGGACCUUUCUUUUCCCCCCCUUUUUGAUUCUUCGGUGGGUGGAGGUCUGGGAAUGCUAAUUUUGUGUACAGUGCCAGGAAAAGCCAUGGGUGGGAGUCCAGGUGGGAAAGUGAGAGCUGGGCAUGUGACAGACAGAACUGCACCUGUUUUUUGGCCCAUCUGCCUUUUUCUCAUUGUUGUGUUGACCUCAAGUCAGACCCUCCCCAGACGCCUGUGGUGGUUGAAGGGGCUAGAGAUGCAGCAGUUUCUCAAGAGUAAGAGGGGAAGGUGUAUAAAACGCCUAGAGGAAUAUUCUGCACAGGCUUAACCCCUUCCCUUCUGCCCCAUCAUGGGGAGGGGAACUGGUUUCCUUCAUCCUGGCAUUUAUUCAUUCAUUUCACCAACAUUUAUUGGGCAUAUAUCCUAGGUCAGUGUCUGAGACUGGCCCUGGGGAAACAGCUGAGAAUAAGACUAUGUCUUCGGACUCAAGGUGCUCACAGCCUAAUGGAAAGAAAGGCAAGCAAAGCAUGUUCAUCUAGAGUUUGAUCAAUACCAUGAUCAAAGUGAUAUAUGGGUCCAGAGCAGACAAAAUGAUGUGUGACUUAAUGCAAAUUAUCUCUUCCUUCACUCUUCCCUACUUCUAGCAUUCAGAAUGUAAGGUCAGCGUUAAGUGAGAAUCUAAUAUGUGAGAGGUACAAUGUUAGGCUUUAUCCUAUCAAUGCCACUCUGACCCAGUACUACAGGGCGCCAGGGGGGCCUAUGUAAAGCAUGAGCCCUGGACCCCUAUCUCCACCCCUCCACCACGGGAGGAGUCCUCAGGGCCAAGGGGAACAACCACCUUGAGCACUCUCUCUCCAGAGAGCUCUGUAUUGUGCUCUGGAUAUCAAGGAGCUCAGAACUGCCUCCCCGAACGGCCACAACUUUGGACAGCACUGGCCUGUAUGCAUGAGGUGCCCAGAGGGCAUGGUUUUGUUUUUUGACUUUUUAGGGCUGCAUCUGUGGCAUAUGGAGGUUCCAAGGCUAAGGGCAGAAUCAGAACUACAGUUGCCAGCCUACACCACAGCUCAUGGCAAUGCAGGAUCUGAGUCGUGUCCUUGACCUUCACCACAGUUCACAGCAACGCCAGAUCCUUAACCCACUGAAUGGGGCCAGGGCUUGAACCCACAUCUUCAUGGAUACUAGUUGGAUUUGUAACUGCUGAGCCACGACUGGAAAUCCUGGGGCAGGUAUUCUGAGGGGAUUUGAUGGAGCUUGGAUUUACCACAGAAAUGCUGGCCAAGGCCUGGAGCAGCGUAAGACUGGUGAGGAUGAGGAACAGGCUAUAGGCUGCAGCCCUCUCCUGCCCUUGACCCACAUUAAUCCACGUGACAGUCCAUGAGGCAAGUGGUGGGUGGAAGGAUCUCCACUUCAGAUGAAGACAUGAAAAUUCAUUGAAGAAAGCUUGAGCCACAGGCCCUAAAUCCCAUCACUGACAAGUAGCAGAGCCCACAUAGCCAGAGUUGAAUUGUCUGAUACCAAAUCCAGGCUGCUUGCCCAUGGGUGCUACUCUUGGAAGGCCUCUUUCCUCUCCUUCACCAGAUAUAGUCCCAAAUACUACCAGGUGCAGAUUCAUUCCAGACUAACAAGCUCUUCUCUUAAGAGGCAAAUACCAUUGAUGGAGUUUGGAGUUCAGGUUUUUAAUCCUUCACUCCAAAUUGCUUCAAAAAGACUAUUUCUCCACCUAUCCCUUAAAUGUUAGUAUUUUCCAGUGUCUGCCUUCAGUCUUGUCUUCCCUGUCUUCAAAGUGUCAGGGAGGGAUAGCUAUUAAAGGCAGGGGAGGGUGUACGGUUUCAAAGGGCUAAUUUAAUAUCACAGUAAAGCUAUAUGGGGCAUGAAAAAUAUUUUUAUACUAAAGCAUAGAAAAGAAUAAGCAUGACAAAGGGGCAUGGAGAGGAGUCACAUUGGUUUAAAAAAUGGCGGAGAGAUGCAAUCUCAUCUGCCAUCCCCGUUUCAACAGCCAACUGUACACUGGCAUUACUUGAAUCUGCCUCCAGCUUGAAUCACUGUCCUGAGCACCAGACCUGACAUCCUGCUGCCUGCUGGACAUUGCCAGCUGGCUGUCCCAUGGGUGUCUCAAAGUCAGCCUGGCUCAAACUGAGCCCAGUGAUCUUCCUUAGCGCCAACCUGUCCCCAUUCCAUCCCUCCUGGUCCCAAAGAGGAGCACUGUCAUCACUCGCCUCUUAGACUCCUUUUUCCCUCAUCCUUUCUUUCAAUCACUUGCCAAGCUCCUUCAUCUCCUGAAAUGUCCCUCCAGGCCAUUCCUUCCCAUCUAUCAUUAGCACCAUGGCUUUCCGGUGUUACUUUCUUUGCCUGAACUAUUCAGGGACCUCAGUCCCCUCCACUGGCUGCCACCAUCACUUUUCUUAAAUAAAAGUACAACUGGAUCUCUUCUCUGCUAUGCACCAUGUCUCCCUUCACUGCUCAGGAGCAGUCCACGCCCUUCCAUGUGACACGCAGGCUUUCUAGAGUUCAUCUGUCUUCCACAUUUCCUGUCAUUCUUUCUGUCACAUUCCCUAAGUCAUAAGCUGACUCAAAUAAUGUAAUGCACUGUGCUUUAAAUAUUUUGUCCCCUGUCUGGAAAGCUCUUCCUCCUCCUCUUUGCACCCCACCUCAUCCUGGUCAGAGUGCAUCUGCCUCCCCCCCGCCCCCUGGACCACAGCACCCCCCCCCAGUCUCCCACCCCUGCUAUUCCUGGCAGAUUAGCCCAGUUCUUUGGCUCUGAUCCAGUAGCACAGUAUUUAUAAAUACAGGAGUCCUUCGAGGAAUAUAAAUUUGAUGCCUUCAUCAUUGGCACUGUGAAGCCAAAGUGGUCACUCAGCAAUUUUAGUGGAAAGACUAAAAUUCUUCCAGUGACUUACAAGCAAAGAAGACAAGAAAAGGAUUGAUACAUAUGACUAGGGGCAGCAUAUUAGACCUGGUUAUGCUAUAAAAGCACAAUGAAAAGGAUUAAAAUGCAACCUUGAUAUAUAAAUUGCCCUUAGAAGUCAAUAAAAGACAAAUAUUCUAAUAGAAAAAAUGGACAAAGGACAUACAAAGACUGUACGCAAGUAAAUACCAUUUGGAAAUGCACACAUAAAAUUUUGCCACACAAAUAAUGGAAUAAAUGUAAUUUAAAACAUUGAGAUAUUUUGCUCCAUCAAAUGGCAAAGAUUAUAUAAUAAUAAUAAUAACAAGUAUUGUGUCUCUAAAGCAAAACAGGUUUUCUUAUGUGCUAUUGUUAGAGGUGUAGAAGUUACUACAACUUUUCUGAAGGAGAGUCAGGUAAUCUGCAACUAGAGCAUUAAAAUGGCCACUCGUCUGACUUCAGUGAUCAAAUAUUUAAGAAUACUUAAUAUGGGAAAUUAAUUAUGAUGUAAUGUUAAGUGAAAAACUAUAAUCAUAAAACAUGGUAUAUAGUAUUUUUUCUACUUGUAAAAAAUUAAACAUAAAUAUAUUAAAUACAUAACAUUUCUUCUUCCUAGAUACAUAAUAUAUAUUAAUAUGUAUAUUUUUCCCUUUCUGGACAUAGUCUAGUUUCAGAUAUAUUACAUACCUCUCUAAAUGUGACAAAGCCUGAAAAAAAGAUAACCGUUGACUCCGUUUUAUAUAAUUUAAAAAAUAUCUCAUAUUGGGAGUUCUCUUUCUAUAGCCAUAUGAAAUCAUUGGCUUUUACUCAAUUUAGAGUAAAAAAAAUUAAGUAAAAAUGCCCUGAAUAUUCUCUGUACUUGCUUCUGUUAAGAUAUGUUACUGGCUGUGUUACCUUCACCCCAGUUCUGGCAUAGAUAUUUUCCCGUAAAACAUUACUUUUGCAAAUGUUAAAUUGUAUCUUAGAUCAGGUCUACUGGUUUUUCCUGUUGAGAUUUUCUGGGCUUCUGUUUCUCUUAUCUGUUCGGUUCAUCAUCCGUCAGCUUCUUGUCUUUGGCAGAUUUAAAUUCCCGACUUCUCCAGUCCCAACCCAGUCAUUUGUAAACACACCACUCAGGGCAAGACAUUGGCAAAUUAAUUCCUGGGACCCGGAUCAUCUCAGCCCUUCUGAUGGAGCUGGUGAACAUCAGAACCAGGAAGGUGCAUUCAGGAACCCAGGGACAGUUCAUGGAAGACCCCAAGUUAGAGUCUUAGGAAACUGGGGAGGAGACUUGCAAGUUUGGGGACUGGUUCAGAAAAAAAGAGAAGAGAAUACAGCAUAGAAUGAAUUAUCUUUGGGUCCUUAGGCUUGUCUUAGUUGAUCAGCACUUGUGAAUUAAAUCGUGUAACUGAAAGCAUGCAUUGCCCAUACCCGCUGUCAUCCUCAGUAUCUGCAAGGGAUUGGUUCCAGGACACCCUACCCCAUCCUAGCAGAUGCCAAAAUGCUUGGAUGCUCCAGCCUCUCAUAUGAAAUUGCAUAGUACAGUCAGUCCUCUGUAUCGAUGGAUGCAGUACCCAGAGAUACAGAGGGCCGACUGUAUGUGGUAAGUACUACCUAUAGUACAUAUGGGGCCAGAUCCCAUGUUAAGGAGUUGUGUGUUAUGUCACCUCAUUCGGUUCCACCACAGUCAAGAGACACAGACACCCUUAGGUCACUUAAUGCCCAGGGUCACACAGCUGAUGAAUACUGGAGCUCUAAUUUGAACUCUAAAUCUGAGCUUUUAUAUUUCCCAGCUCAAACACAUUUCAGUUAUGUUAUGUGAUAGCCAACUUUUAGCUUCUGUGCUAUGUUAUUUUUUCUGCAGUGGAAAGAGUAAGUCAAAUAGCCCAAUGCUGAUUGUAACAAGACAUCUUUUGUGACACAAGACAUAUCUUUUCGGAUGACAGGGAAAAAAUAUUAUGGUUAUACAAUUAAUGACUUUUCCUCUUUUCCUCUAGAAAGAAGAAAUCAUCAAACUUAUUUUUGAAAUAUGUGGUAAGAUUCGACCAUCAAGGGAAAAACCCAUCCCUUUGAAGUACCAACCCCACUAGGUUCUGUGCUGUCAAGAUAGUGGGCUCCCAAGAAGAUACAGACUAUAGAGCUCGUGGGAAAGUUUCAAGCUCAUUUGCAAAGCUGGUGGGAAACAGAAGGGAAGCAGUGUGAGGGCCUGUGAGAAUCUUGAUUUUAGAAAAGAAAAUCCUAAUUUCAGGGUAGUUAAGAAGUGUGAAGAUACCAGCCUAGAGUCUGUGGGCAGCCAGGCUUGUUAGCACAGAGCUCAUUUGUAUUCAGUGACAUUUACCUGAACCUGACAGGAAAAGAACAACAAAGGAAACAUGACUAUAGGGGCCUAACAGGUGUUUUGAGUCCAGCUGAGCUGGUGAUGAUAAAGUCUGUGCUUUUCCUGAAGCCAAAAGUCUUUUUAAAUUGCAUUCUGAGCCCUGCAUCUAGAGUCUUGCACUUCAAAGGCAAGAGGACAGAGGCCAUCCUGUGUCACAGCUCUACCUAAAAUCUUCUAUGGGGAAAUAGGAUUAAAAGAGAGUUACCAGAACAAGGAAGUAAAGCAAAAUGAGUAGCCAAGAGGCAAGCAGUUCAUGGAUAAUGGAGAUUAGAGAAACUUCUGUGUUUAAAAUAGAGGCAGGAAUAGUAUCUUUCUAUACAGAGAACCUCAGAACUGAUUUGUUCCCCCACAAACUUCCAGACCUUAAGCAUCAGCCUAGGACUCGUUAUAGUGACAGGCCAACUUAGACGUUGCUUCUGAGUUCUAGAAGCACUGUCAAAAUAGCACCCAAUUUCCUAAUGAUUUACUGUGGUAGGGCUGUUGGGCAACAGAGGAUACAAAUAAAAGAAUGGAAACCUGAUAAUUUUUAUUGCCUAAUGACUCUCGCAACCGGUUUGAAUGAUAAGCCGUAAAGGGAAGUUGCUUCUUGACUAGUAUCCUGAGGUCAUGCCCCUUAAACAGUUUCAUCCUGUGGAUGGACUGCUGGCCUCCUUGAUAGAUGGGAGCUGCCUUAGUGGUCACUGUAGGUGACUGGGGACAUGAACUAGAAUAGAUAGGGGCAGCUACCCAGUUAAAGGCCCUAAUCUUUUCCCCACAAUUAAAAAUUUCAUCCCUUUACCCAUUGGUCAAUGAGCAAACUUGCAUUUUCACAUAAGGAUAUGGUUGAAGACUGAAAUAUUAGCUUUCAGAUUCAGGUUAAAUACAAAUGGUGGAAUGAUAAAGAACAAAUUUAAGAUAGUGGCUAUCUGGGAGUUCCCUUCCUGGUGCAGCAGAAACAAAUCCAACUAGGAACCAUGAGGUUUCUGGUUCAAUUCCUGGCCUUGCUCAGUGGGUUAAGGAUCCUGUGUUGCUGUGAGCUGUGGUGUAGGUCAAAGAGGUGGCUUGGAGGCGGGCAGCUAUAGCUUGGACUAGACUCCUAGCCUGGAAACCUCCAUAUGCUGCAGGU
This 7065-nucleotide long non-coding RNA is filed under the name Sus scrofa (pig). RNAcentral describes it as "lncRNA (ENSSSCG00065030566.1)". Lineage: Eukaryota; Metazoa; Chordata; Mammalia; Artiodactyla; Suidae. The record is from RNAcentral.